CUGGGGUAAGAGGGAAGAGGACGCGUGGGAGCUAAGUGUCAGUGCCAGCCGGGUCACUUGUGCGAACUGGGCCAUCUAAACCCCACGCAACUGCCCAAGUGUGAAAUAGUAGUCAUGUAAUAUCUCACCAACAUCGAACUCGAGCUUCGAGAGGUUCGGCUUGCAGCACGCGGGCUGCAGGUCGACGGGCCCCGUGCACCGGGUGUCGGUGAAGUUGGUGAAGACCUUGAAGCAGAUCCAGUCGUUGUUAGCAACGCCCUGCAGGUAGCCGUCCCACUUCAGGCGCCAAGGGCUCACACGCAGGCGGUCAUCGCAGCGGCAGUAAGGGAACCGCGGAGGCUUGGCUUGCAGAAGCGUCCUGCGC
Molecule: long non-coding RNA, 364 nt
Filed under: Chlamydomonas reinhardtii
Lineage: Eukaryota; Viridiplantae; Chlorophyta; Chlorophyceae; Chlamydomonadales; Chlamydomonadaceae
Description: long non-coding RNA (CREI_LNC000521)
Source: RNAcentral